RNAcentral lists this ribosomal RNA (497 nucleotides) under uncultured bacterium. RNAcentral's name for it is "partial 16S ribosomal RNA". It matches the Rfam family "Bacterial small subunit ribosomal RNA", at positions 28 to 507 of the family's 1533-position model. The record is from RNAcentral.
GAUGAACGCUGGCGGCGUGCCUAAUACAUGCAAGUCGAGCGAACGGACGAGAAGCUUGCUUCUCUGAUGUUAGCGGCGGACGGGUGAGUAACACGUGGAUAACCUACCUAUAAGACUGGGAGAACUUCGGGAAACCGGAGCUAAUACCGGAUAAUAUUUUGAACCGCAUGGUUCAAAAGUGAAAGACGGUCUUGCUGUCACUUAUAGAUGGAUCCGCGCUGCAUUAGCUAGUUGGUAAGGUAACGGCUUACCAAGGCAACGAUGCAUAGCCGACCUGAGAGGGUGAUCGGCCACACUGGAACUGAGACACGGUCCAGACUCCUACGGGAGGCAGCAGUAGGGAAUCUUCCACAAUGGGCGAAAGCCUGACGCAGCAACACCGCGUGAGUGAUGAAGGUCUUCGGAUCGUAAAACUCUGUUAUUAGGAAAGAACAUAUGUGUAAGAAACUGUGCACAUCUUGACGGUACCUAAUCAGAAAGCCACGGCUAACUACGUG